GGUACUAGAGAAGGAGGGGAGAGGAGGACGUCUCCUCCAGGAGGUGCUCUUGUCUAGCAGUUCUCGUGCCCAGCUUGCUGCUUCUGCUCUCAAGGAAGCUGUCGGGAGAUGAGACAGGUGGGAACCCAGCUUCGUGACACAGCGACAGAAGAGACCCUGUGGAUCUCAACUGCAGUGCUUAUCAAAAUGGACACUAGCUCAUGCACAUCUAUCCGUGGCAUCAUGACUGCACUCUGGACAGGCUGGCCUUUCCAAGCUUCGAUGAACUUUCCACUCUGGAAGGAGGAACGUCCCCGUCUCUGCUGAGACCUGA
Long non-coding RNA from Gymnogyps californianus (California condor), 313 nucleotides. RefSeq lists it as uncharacterized. Lineage: Eukaryota; Metazoa; Chordata; Aves; Accipitriformes; Cathartidae. The transcript has 3 exons. The record is from RefSeq and is a predicted model, not a curated record.